GGGCGUACACACACGCUACAAUAGGGCAGCACAACAGGUAGCGAAGCCGCGAGGCGGAGCCAAUCCCCCAAAGACUGUCCUCAGUUCAGAUUGCAGGCUGCAACUCGCCUGCAUGAAGAUGGAGUUGCUAGUAAACGCGCGUCAGCUAUAGUGCGUUGAAUACGUUCCCGGGUCUU
Molecule: ribosomal RNA, 176 nt
Filed under: uncultured Anaerolineaceae bacterium
Lineage: Bacteria; Bacillati; Chloroflexota; Anaerolineae; Anaerolineales; Anaerolineaceae
Description: partial 16S ribosomal RNA
Rfam family: Bacterial small subunit ribosomal RNA
Source: RNAcentral